Molecule: long non-coding RNA, 1962 nt
Organism: Astatotilapia calliptera (eastern happy)
Lineage: Eukaryota; Metazoa; Chordata; Actinopteri; Cichliformes; Cichlidae
Source: Ensembl
AGACGGACCACCUCUAAAAUACAAGGUGUGUUUAAUCCAUAAUCACACACAGAGACAUAAAGACCAUCGUGGCAAAAGAAAGAGUGAGUGCGUUACAACUGUAAUGCAUUUCAACGUCUGUAUAAGUGUCACCAUAACAACGGUCUACACGUGUACAAACGAGAGGUGCAUCUUCUCGAGUUCAGUGAACUUGUGACUGGGGGGUUGAGAGCUGGAUUCUUUUGGUAAACUGGAGAAAUGACAGAUAUCCAUGUACCGACUUUGGAAACAGCAAGGAAACAACAUUUUGGAUGUUUCACCACUGUUUGUAGCCUCUAACAGUGGAGACUGGUGGGGGCACAGAGACAACUUACAGGUGUUAAAGGAGAAGUGGAGGGGAGGGACGCUCCCAUGUUUUACUCCCCUGCAGGCAGACUUCCCCACACUGCAGUAAAAGCUCAGAUACAGACGCUGUGCUGCACAGAGGGAAAGUGUGGGACAGAUGGAGAGGUAAUCAGGAGCAUCCAUCCUCUCUUCUCUACAUUUUCCUCUUCCUACUUCCUCCCUGCUUUCUUUCUCCUGUGUAGUUAAAGGGAGGCUUUCAUGUUUUGUUUCUGGGAGAACAGGAAGAAGAGAAAUACAGAGCUCUGUAUCAGGGAGGUAUAGAGCUGGAGUCAGAACUCCAAGCACAGUGACUGGUGGUGGAAACAGAAGCUUGCACAUGUAUUCAAAUCUUUCAUAUCUGAGUUUAGUUUAAAUGUAGAAAACCAGGAUACAUUUCUGACGGGUUAUACAUUAGUUUUACUCAUUUACAUUAUUAUAAUAAUACUUUGAUUUAAAGGUAAAGCAGUUUCUCGUGUGUGGAGCCUGUCUCAGUGAGCAGGCUGGUGACAUCAGGACUAAUCGGGGAAGAUUAGUGUUUUUUUGUUUUUCAAACAGAUGUGUUUGUCAUUUGUAACUGACAUUUCAGAGCUGAAAGAAAGACUGACUGAGAGUGCUUCCUGGGUUAAAAUGCCCAUAGAAGUGAUCAUCUAUAUAAAACUAAAAGCUACGAUGGCCAAGCUGACUUUAGAUUGGUUUCCCCUACAGAAGAAUAAUUUUGAAGUGGUUUGUGGCUGUGGUUGUUUCUAGUUUCUACUGGGACCAAUCCGAACUUUCUGUUCGCUAAGCUUAACUUAGUGGCUUAGUGAACUAAUAUGUCUGUGAAGGUUCUCAGUCCUCCAGGUCAUCGUAGUCUAAGGAGCUUGGAAAGAAAAGCGUCUGGGCUUCUUUAAGUUGCUUGAAGACGUUUCACCUCUCAUCCGAGAAGCCUCAAGACAUGCUUCCCCCACACUGGAUCCUCACCAAUGCUGUACCCACAGGAUGCUGUACCCACAGGAUGCUGUACCCACAGCGCUUCACUGUGUACUCUCACACCUGGACAACAAGAAUACAUAAGCAAGAAUGCUGUUGGCUUCAUGUGGAAACAGAAAAUGGGCACAAGAACAGUUUAAGGGAGGAAAGAGUUUGAUAUAGUUCGGGUCACUCCCUUGGUGAGGAAUGUCAAAUGGAUGAGAGUGACAGCGAGUAAGAGAAGAUCCCAGAAUGAUGUCUAAAGAACAGUUAGGAGAUCGUGUGUGUCUGUGUGUGUCUUUAGAGGACACUGUGAUGUAAGGAGCCAGGAUGUCGUUCCACGCAGAGCCGUCAGACACAGACACACAGAAACUUGUACAACUGCAGAUACGGAUGUAUGCGUCAUGCGUGGUGUCACACAGGUGUAUUAGCCCAGGCACAGACCUGAGCCACAGCCAAGUCAUUCAUAAACAAAUCAUCUGCUGAUGGGAAAGUUAGUGUUUGGUGGUCUGUGUGCCAAAGUAUUCCUGAACCCAGUUUGCUUCACUGGAGUGUGAAUGUAGGAAGUGCUAUAAAAAGCAGUCUAUUAUUUCAUUGUUACUAAACACUUAUAUGAAAACCAGCUUGUUUGUUAAAAUAAAAAUUUUGAAC